CUUGCCCAGUGUUUUCUCAGAACAGGCUUUCUUUACCUGUCCCUACCUGCUCUGAGGGUUUCAAACUGUUUCCUCAGGUCAGCUCAGUUGCUGGGGCUGGACCAACCACCCUUCCUCCAGACCUCUCCAUCCUGCUGCCUCCCCACUACUUCUCCCUCCUCCUACUCCUCCCCCUCCUCCAACCUCUCUCCUUCCCCCGCCCUCACCCCUCCCCCACCCCUCCCUUCCCCUUCUCCACCGGUCUCCCUCCCCUACCCUGAUAAUUUCCUUGCAAUGCUUCCCUGCUAUCUUCAGUAGGUCGGUUUCUUGAGGGAGAAGACUGAAUCAGCCAGCUGCACCAGUUGGAUAAAGGAACCCUGGGUGGUUACUUCUGAGGCUGCCAGCUUCUGCCAGCUUAAGGUGUGGCCCAGAUUUAAGGUGGAUCUUCCUGCCUCAAAAGACCAGAAUUUAAGGUGGAUCUUCCCAUUCAAAUGAUUUAAUUAAGAAAAAAAAAAAUCCCUCGACGGUGUACCCAGAUGCUUGGGUUUUAAUUAAUUCCAGAUGCAGUCAAGUUGACAGGCGGUAACAGCCACCACAGCUGAUUUUCCCUUCGCCAGAGGUCACUGCUGGGCCUGUUUCGUGAACCCCAAAAGACCACCAAGGAGCUGAUUCCGAUGCAGUCACACCAGGGUCUUUUUUGCAAGCUCCCAGCUUAGGCCACUCUGCCAUCUCUGACACAGCCAAACACGGGGAUGAAGCCCCAAGCUCUCGGCGGGACGAGGUUUUAUAGGAUAUGGCAAGUAAAUGAGGGGGUCCCCAGCCUGGCACACAUCUGACGGAGGAGCACAAUUACAGAAUUUUGUUGCCCUUUAGCAUCAUUGGCUGGGGAUGGAAGACAGAUCAUAAACUUAACUUCUGCUUUCCUCCUGGUUGGUGGUUGCUAGGAAGUGACGUGCGGGGGGGCGGGCCUGUAACCUGGAAACUGGUGCUAGACUCACGUUUGUUGUGGAGUAGCCUGGAAACUGGUGCUAAGCGCAGGCUUGUCAGUUAACUGGAGUUCAACCUUAGGUCAAGUUCUUUAAGACGGAGUCUAAACCCAAGAUCCAGUCUCUCAGUUAUCAGUUGCAAAUAACUUCUUGUUUAGGGGCGGGACUCCAUGUCCACUCUCCCUACUCACUGCUGGAGCCACGCACAUCUUGAAACUGAGAAGGUUUUGUGUUCGCUGCCAUGGUCUCUGUGAGUUUGUAUGUGCAUCCAUCCUGCUAGAAGCCACCAUUUCCUCGGAGUCAUCCAUCACCUCUGGCUCUUGCGAGCUGUCUGUCUCCUCGUCUACGCAGACCCUGAGCAUUGAGUCUUUUAGGACCCAGUGUUCCAAAGUCCCUCCCUCUGCGUACAUUGUUCAACUGUGGUUCUUUCUUAGUCUACUGUUCUAUUGCUAUGAAGAGAAACCAUGACCAAAGAAACUCCUAUGAAGGAAAUAAAUACUUGGUUUGGGGUUUUCUCACAGUUUUAGAGGUUUAGGCUAUUGUCAACAUGGUAGACAACAUGUAGACACGGUGCUGGAGAAGCAUCAGAGAUUUCUCAGCAUCCAGAUCCACAGGCAGCAGGAAGGGAGAGCCCCUGGACUUGGAAUGGGUUUUUUGAAACCCCUCCCGCUCCCACAGUGACACACUUCCUCCAACAAGGGCACACUUUCUCAUCCUUUCAAUACUGGUAACCAAGCAUUCACAUCUGUUAGCCUACGGGGGCCAUUUCCAUUCACAACAGGGUCUCUGUGUUGAUUUCUGUCUGCUGCAGACAGAAGCUUCUCUGAUAGGAAUAGCGAGGUAUUCUGUUAGGAGUCAUUUCAUCACUUUAGCAGAAAAAUAGUAUUCCAUUUUCUCCAAAGUCCAAGACUUAUCUAGUCUCAGGUCCUUGGACACUUUAGCAGUGUCAAAUAGGAGUCUCGUGUCAUGGAGUGGGCCUUGAAGCCAACCAGAAAGUGGUUGGUUGCUUCCAUGAUGUUUGUGACGCUGCUGCACUGGUAUUCCUCUCAGGCCGGUCACUGUGGUAGCUUCCAGGGUUUGUAGCUGGGCAAUAGUGAGGGUCACCUUUCUUCUCUGGUAGCACGCAGAGUGUAUUCUAGCACCACGGACAUGUGUCAGCAGGGGUGAGCCUUCUAGCUACUGAUUGCCUUAUUUAAGAAAACAAUCUUGUACGCAUAAUGUUUUUGUGAUCGGUGGUUAAGAUAGCCCUUGUGCUAAUCAAAUGCUGAUUUCUCCAACCUCGUAUCUUGUUUCCAUCUGGACACAGCGUUGUAACGCCUACGUCCAGAAUCUCCUGUCUUGAGUUCAUAUAAACAAUGCUCACCAUUUAUUCUGUGUUGUCAGUAAAAGCCGAUCAGCCGAUGGCUGGGCAGAAGAGAGAAUAGGGCAGAACUUCCACCAGCCGUGGGAGUUGGAGCGAGAAGAGGAAGAAAGGCAGAGCCACACCACGAGGACAGCCUCUGAGGAGACCUCAUGAGAGUUCAGCAGGACCAUGGAAGACCCUGAAUAGGUCCUUUCUAUGAUGGGGAUUUUGACUGGUGGGAGGUAGCAAUAUUAGAUUAGAGAUUUAAGAUAGAUCAAUACUGCCCAGGUAUCCUGCCAAAGCCUGACGUAAUUUUCGGUCUCUCUGUGUCAUUUUUGGAGAGCUAGCUAAGCUAGCUAGGAUAAAGAAAAACAGCCACUGCAUUAAUUAAACACAUACAUUCAUAUUAAAAUUAACAUUGACAAAA
Molecule: non-coding RNA, 2734 nt
Organism: Rattus norvegicus (Norway rat)
Lineage: Eukaryota; Metazoa; Chordata; Mammalia; Rodentia; Muridae
Source: RefSeq, a predicted model, not a curated record